This 253-nucleotide ribosomal RNA is filed under the name Bradyrhizobiaceae bacterium. RNAcentral describes it as "partial 16S ribosomal RNA". It matches the Rfam family "Bacterial small subunit ribosomal RNA", at positions 524 to 776 of the family's 1533-position model. Lineage: Bacteria; Pseudomonadati; Pseudomonadota; Alphaproteobacteria; Hyphomicrobiales; Nitrobacteraceae. RNAcentral also lists the same sequence under 1 other name. The record is from RNAcentral.
UACGAAGGGGGCUAGCGUUGCUCGGAAUCACUGGGCGUAAAGGGUGCGUAGGCGGGUUCUUAAGUUAGAGGUGAAAGCCUGGAGCUCAACUCCAGAACUGCCUUUAAUACUGGGAAUCUUGAGUUCGGAAGAGGUGAGUGGAACUGCGAGUGUAGAGGUGAAAUUCGUAGAUAUUCGCAAGAACACCAGUGGCGAAGGCGGCUCACUGGUCCGAUACUGACGCUGAGGCACGAAAGCGUGGGGAGCAAACAGG